GGGGAAGUAGCUCAGUGGUAGAGCUCCCGCCCCUUAUGAGGGAAGACGGAGGUCCGAUUCCCUGCUCCUUCU
RNAcentral lists this transfer RNA (72 nucleotides) under Toxocara canis (dog roundworm). It matches the Rfam family "tRNA". Rfam says of the family: Transfer RNA (tRNA) molecules are approximately 80 nucleotides in length. Their secondary structure includes four short double-helical elements and three loops (D, anti-codon, and T loops). Lineage: Eukaryota; Metazoa; Nematoda; Chromadorea; Rhabditida; Toxocaridae. The record is from Rfam by way of RNAcentral.